RNAcentral lists this long non-coding RNA (488 nucleotides) under Monodelphis domestica (gray short-tailed opossum). Its description in RNAcentral is "lncRNA (ENSMODG00000040331.1)". Lineage: Eukaryota; Metazoa; Chordata; Mammalia; Didelphimorphia; Didelphidae. The record is from RNAcentral.
UUUAAAGGCUGCUCAUCCAUUUUUGGUGCCCUUCUUUCUCCCAAGUUUCACCUGUGGCUUCAAGAAACUGUAGCAUUUCUGGUAGUCACACCCUGGUAAACCAUUUUGGCAGAUGGAUAAAACCAGGUUGAGAGUAACUGAUGGGCCACAAACCUGUUAGUAAGUGACUGGAAAUCUUUUACCCCAACACUUCCCAAUUGAAGGAACUUCUGAAGGGAAACCUGAGCAGACUACCUCAGCUCCUGUUGCCCAGGGUUUGCAGCCCCUUUGCGCCUUAGCAGAUGAGUUGCUAUUGCUGAAAACUUCAUCAUGUUGUAACCCAAAUGGUAAAAACUUCUCAACAUUUAGCCAGGCAAGUAUUCAGAUGAUAUAUAAUAAACUGCUACAUUGAGCAGCUAGGUGGCAGAGUGGAUAGAGCACUGGGCCUGGCUUCAUCUUUGUGGAUCCAAAUCUGGCCUCAGACACUUAGCUGUAUGACUAUGGGCAAG